This 444-nucleotide ribosomal RNA is filed under the name Halorubrum sp. RNAcentral's name for it is "bacterial SSU rRNA". It matches the Rfam family "Archaeal small subunit ribosomal RNA", at positions 384 to 827 of the family's 1478-position model. Lineage: Archaea; Methanobacteriati; Methanobacteriota; Halobacteria; Halobacteriales; Haloferacaceae. The record is from RNAcentral.
AGUGCACAGGCAUAGCGCCUGUGCUUUUCGGUACCCUAAGGCGGUACCAGAAUAAGGGCUGGGCAAGACCGGUGCCAGCCGCCGCGGUAAUACCGGCAGCCCAAGUGAUGGCCGAUCUUAUUGGGCCUAAAGCGUCCGUAGCUGGCCGCGCAAGUCCAUCGGGAAAUCCACCUGCUCAACAGGUGGGCGCCCGGUAGAAACUGCGUGGCUUGGGACCGGAAGGCGCGACGGGUACGUCCGGGGUAGGAGUGAAAUCCCGUAAUCCUGGACGGACCGCCGAUGGCGAAAGCACGUCGCGAGAACGGAUCCGACAGUGAGGGACGAAAGCCAGGGUCUCGAACCGGAUUAGAUACCCGGGUAGUCCUGGCCGUAAACAAUGUCUGCUAGGUGUGGCUCCCACUACGAGUGGGUGCUGUGCCGUAGGGAAGCCGCUAAGCAGACCGC